AUCCUUUCAAGCUGGGGUAGUCUUGGUAGCCUGUGCUACAGCCAUACAAAUUGUUUAUUCAUGCAAGUGUUACAUGUAUUCACAGUCAUAAUUCCUCUUCAUCUUCUGAUGUGUCCACUGGUACGUGCUUGGUGAAUGAUCCUCUUGUGUUUGUUUAAAAUAGCUACUGUAGUCAUGAAAUGCAGCAUUUUUUAAUGUUGCUAAUGUAUCUGAUGAUAUAUAUGUGAAGAAACCUUCAUGAAAAUAAUC
This is a non-coding RNA of Paramuricea clavata, 249 nucleotides long. The record is from the annotation of a GenBank genome assembly. Lineage: Eukaryota; Metazoa; Cnidaria; Anthozoa; Malacalcyonacea; Plexauridae.